UCAGAAUAUAAGCAGGGAUAAGCAGGAAAUUACUCUCUUCUGCUUCCUCAUUCUCUCUUCUCUGGAAGCCUCCAUGUGAUCCCAACAAGAGAGGAUGCUUGCCGACAGCAUCCUCCAUCAGAUAAGUCUAUAAAAUAUAUAGAGUAAUAAAUAUGGUUAAUACUUAUGACAGAGAUAGCAGAUAAAAAAAUCCUAGUCAUUGGCCAGCAACAUUGUAAAUAAUAUCAAUCUCUGUGUGUUAUUUCAGGUGCCCACGUGGCAGUGGGUCUCGGGUGGCUUACUGGAAAGAUUUAUUGGUACAUGAGUGUGCUACCCUUUUAAAAGUAAAGUUGAUUCACAUUUGUGAUUGACUCUUUUAACUCUUUAUUUAAAAAUUUUAAGUGUGUAGGUCUGGUGAGGAUAUCAUCUGGCUAAGACUUUUUACUCCUUCAUAAACUAUGAGCUAAAAUUCCCUUCAGGACAAGAGAAGCAGUGUCAACAGCUAACUUUUGCCUGAAGGAAGAUGAAGCAAACACUAAUUUCUUCUGGGCCUAAGGAAGUAAUGUGAAUGAGACCAGUGGCCUGAAUGGAUCCCAACUGUUUUAUUGUUGUCUUCUUUUCCUGAACUGCCAGAAUCUAAGCCACUUGAUUUUUUCCUUAUGGAAUCAAAGUUUCACUCCAGGAUUAAAAUCGACAUCCUUGUAAUUUGGUAAUGAAGUGCUGUGACCCCAAUAUGUACAGUGGUUCCACGUGUAUUUUCUGACAGAAGUGGGAGAGGUAAGG
RNAcentral lists this long non-coding RNA (762 nucleotides) under Cricetulus griseus (Chinese hamster). RNAcentral describes it as "lncRNA (ENSCGRG00000026669.1)". Lineage: Eukaryota; Metazoa; Chordata; Mammalia; Rodentia; Cricetidae. The record is from RNAcentral.